CUUUUCAAUUCUGCCGCUAUCUUUAGGAUAGCCAACCUCCCAGCCUGCCUCGCGCUCGGGGAAGCCGAGCUCAGGCCCAAGGCAAGCGAGGGACAGAGAGGGGGCUCCCUGCGGCGUGCAUAGCAGCGGGAAAGCACCCCCAAACAUUUGCUAGACUCGAGCUCCGAAUCCUCACAAUUCGCAAUGAAAGGCGCAGGCACAGCUCCUCACCGCUACACGUCAUCUCUACAGACGCUCUAGGGCGCGUAUCACGUGAGCCUGCGUAAGGCUUCCGGUGGGCUGCGUGAUGACGCAGGCAGCACAUGCGUACUACUGCGGUCUUGGGCCGGGAAGUUCCGUGGGCUGCUGAUCAUCGAUAGUGUCUUCGUUAUCCAGUGCCAUCGAGAGUUAUAAUCGGUGCCUGCUCUUUUCCGAAGCCGCGUGGCUGGUCACCCCACGCCUCUCGCAACACUUCUGGAAGAUGCCAAUCGCAGCUCCCAUCUCCUGGAACUGGCCCCCGCUUUUUCUCCAUUUCCGCCAUUGUUUCACGAGGAACAUCUUUACCGAAUCGUCUGUGUCUUAAUCUGUACCUCCGAUGGCUUUUCUGAGCUGUAAGGAUGCCAGGCUGGAAAGGAGUGGAAUGCCCUCGUGUCCUGCCCUGGUGUGCAUCAGGGAUAGGCAGGAUGGAAAGUGUGGUCACAGUAGGGGCAGCACAUUUGUGUAACGCUCAGGCCCUGGGUCAUACCUUGUCACCUUUGAAGGUGAAGGAUGUCAACAGAUAUGGAUGCUGAACACACCAGCUUCUGGGAGCUAUUGUUGGGAGACACUUCUCUGCAAAUCUCCUGUAGCUCUGUUCUCUGCAGCCACCUUCUCCCCAUAGGCUUGGUUCUGUGCCCCUGCCCCAUGUAGUCUGUCUUCCCCCAGUGUUUCAGCAAUAAAAUUCCCAACAUGCUAAAGCUAAAAGGUGUGAGCACUGAGCUACCAGGCUGUUCCACGGGAUUUCUGCAGUGGCUUUGGCACCAUGUUGUCUGCUUCCAGAAUAAGGAUCCUCUGCAUCGGAACCCCAGGCCCUGUAAUAUCUUUGUGUGAUCAACAAGGAAUAUUUAAUAAAACGUUUUCAG
This is a long non-coding RNA of Condylura cristata (star-nosed mole), 1100 nucleotides long. RefSeq lists it as uncharacterized. Lineage: Eukaryota; Metazoa; Chordata; Mammalia; Eulipotyphla; Talpidae. The record is from RefSeq and is a predicted model, not a curated record. The transcript has 5 exons.